Orcinus orca (killer whale) is the source of this 2154-nucleotide long non-coding RNA. RefSeq lists it as uncharacterized. The transcript has 5 exons. The record is from RefSeq and is a predicted model, not a curated record. Lineage: Eukaryota; Metazoa; Chordata; Mammalia; Artiodactyla; Delphinidae.
CAGGCUUGACGGAUGGAUCGGCCCCGCGCACCAAGGCUCUGCUGACUGCUCGUCUCUAAUUCUUGCCUGACACAGACAUUCCCUGCCCAGGGAAGUGUUUGAUUUAUGUUGAGGUUUCAGUGUCGGGAUUCUGCUGACAGGAGUCAAACUGGGGACUUGGGGAUUCAGAUGAGGAUUUCCUUGCGGAACUACAGAGGAAAAAUGUCCAAGGCCUGGCUUGGACGGAGGGGGUCCUGGUACCCCAGUGCUGAAUGGAAGAAGUGUGGACACAGGCUAAGGAACCUCAUCAUGUCAUGCGGCCCUGGAGUGACCAAGCUGGGAACUGAGCUCAGGCUGUUUGCCUCAAAAACUCAGUUUCCGAACCACCACUUUCUAUUGCCUGAACAAGCAGUCAUUCAGUAAAUUUAGUGAGGACCUGCUCUGGUCAGGCAUGUGUACCACAGGCUGCGGAGAGAAACGGAUACUGUCUCUUUCUGCCCACAAGGAAGCCUGCAGCAUGAGGGAUCUUAGUUCUCCGACCAGGAAUCGAAACCACACCCCCUGCAUUGGAAGCGCGGAUUCUUAACCACUGGACCGCCAGGGAAGUCCGUACUUUCUCCAUCUUAAAGACGGGGAAAUGAGGAGCAGAGAAGUUACACAGCUGGUGAGGAAAUCCACAGAAUGUCAAAACCAGAAGAAAUCUUUGAGAUAAUUUUUUAAAAAUGUACAUCAAGUACAAUUCACUCUUUGUGGUGUGCAGUUCUGUGGGUUUUGACAAUGCGUGACACUGUGUGUCCUCCACCACAGUCAAGAUACAGCACAGCUCUGACACUCCCUAAGUUCCCUCGUGCUGCCAGCUAUCGUUUUAUGCUUUCAUUUCUGCGCUGCAUGACAGCUUUCCUACUUCAUCUCCUCAGCAGCCCUAGGUCAUGGGCAUUCAGCUCUCCUUUGCUCAGGACCACUCAGGUCUCAGUGCCAGCACUGGGAUGUGAACCCAGAUCCACCAGCUACAAAGUUCACAUUCCUAACGACAGCUUUCCAAGAUUCAUGUAUCGAGCGCCCACUGUGCACGUGGUAUUCAUUCGAAUACCCUGUCUCCCCCAAGCCCUCCUCGCACAAGUCUUCCUUGGGAUGAAUAUAAUCUCCUGGGAGGUUGCCUCCCUCUGAAGCUUGCAUCCUGUCAUCUGAAACAGCAGCAGGGCAGCAGGCCCAAGGGAGCGCUGGGCCACUCGGAAGGCCCUCCUCACGGGCCAAGGUGCUUUGUGACCGUGAGUGGAAGGGAGGCUCAGGAGAACGUCUGAGGAGCGAUGGCCUGCCUGGAGGGUUUUUCUCCCCUUCCCCUGGGAACUAGGAUCUGAGGUUUCAAAAUCAGUUUUCAAGCUUCAUCAGCCAAAAAUGUUGUUUUACUCUCAAACGACCGGUUGUCAUCUUCCCGAUCUUCUAGAUCUUUUUUAUAAGCCCUUCUCCUUCCUUAAAGUGACGUGAUGCCAAGACUUUCCAGGCUUAACUUCAGGUGAGGGGGGAGGCAGGCCAUUUUCGAGAGAGCUGAAGAGACAGUAACAGAAGCCUCUCUCCGAGGCCUCGCUUGUUGCUGGCUUCUGCAGAGGAUACAGCCCCAGACAGAUGGGAGAGAGAAGGCUGGUUCCACACUCGAGGUUCUGGUUACCUCAACCCAGGUUUAAACAGAAAAUUUUUAUAAACAAACCCCCUCUGAGAACGGAACAGUAGUUCUAAUCCCUGGCCUUUCAGGAGAAAGCAGAGGCUGGAGAAACUAAACAUUUUAGGGCUGUGGAAAGACAGCCGCUCCCACCCCUGCGUACUUCGGUGACAGCUCUCAUUAUGGGGAGAAACCAGGUCUAGGGGAAAAAAUGUGCUACAGAGUCAAACACAAAUGAUGAACGAUAAUUUCUCAUUAGCUUCAACCCCCUGGGCUUUGGGGGAGGUGGGCCUGAAUUGAGGAAUGAGGGAUAAAAGUGGAAAUUAGCUACUGACAUCUAGAUUUUUUGUCUGCAUUGGAGAGACAGUUUAAGCUAAGCCUGGGUUUGAUUAACCAUGGAUAUCCUGGGGGUUGUGGGAUUCUCUUUUUUUAAGAAAAUUUCUAAUUAUGUAUGUUUGUUGGAGAAAUUUUUCAAAAUUGCCAAAGGCAAUAAAUAACUAAAAAAUUUUUAAACCGCA